CCGUGCGGCAGCUACACAUGCAAGUCGAGCGGAUGAGGAGAGCUUGCUCCUCCUAAUUCAGCGGCGGACGGGUGAGUAAUGCCUAGGAAUCUGCCUGGUAGUGGGGGACAACGUUUCGAAAGGAACGCUAAUACCGCAUACGUCCUACGGGAGAAAGUGGGGGAUCUUCGGACCUCACGCUAUCAGAUGAGCCUAGGUCGGAUUAGCUAGUUGGUGGGGUAACGGCUCACCAAGGCGACGAUCCGUAACUGGUCUGAGAGGAUGAUCAGUCACACUGGAACUGAGACACGGUCCAGACUCCUACGGGAGGCAGCAGUGGGGAAUAUUGGACAAUGGGCGAAAGCCUGAUCCAGCCAUGCCGCGUGUGUGAAGAAGGCCCUCGGGUCGUAAAGCACUUUAAGCUGGGAGGAAGGGUUGUAACCUAAUACGUUGCAGCUUUGACGUUACCAGCAGAAUAAGCACCGGCUAACUCUGUGCCAGCAGCCGCGGUAAUACAGAGGGUGCAAGCGUUAAUCGGAAUUACUGGGCGUAAAGCGCGCGUAGGUGGCUUGGUAAGUUGAAUGUGAAAUCCCCGGGCUCAACCUGGGAACUGCAUCCAAAACUGCCUGGCUAGAGUACGGUAGAGGGUGGUGGAAUUUCCUGUGUAGCGGUGAAAUGCGUAGAUAUAUGAAGGAACACCACUGGCGAAGGCGAGCACCUG
Molecule: ribosomal RNA, 700 nt
Filed under: Pseudomonas luteola
Lineage: Bacteria; Pseudomonadati; Pseudomonadota; Gammaproteobacteria; Pseudomonadales; Pseudomonadaceae
Description: bacterial SSU rRNA
Rfam family: Bacterial small subunit ribosomal RNA
Source: RNAcentral